GUCUCAGUUCGGAUUGAAGGCUGAAAUUCGCCUUCAUGAAGCCGGAAUUGCUAGUAAUGGCAGGUCAGCAUACUGCCGUGAAUACGUUCCCCGGGGCCUUGUACACACCGCCCGUCACACCAUGAGAGUUGGGAAUACCCGAAGCCUGUGAGCUAACUUUUAGAGGCAGCAGUCGAAGGUAGAAUCAAUGAUUGGGGUGAAGUCGUAACAAGGUAUC
This 217-nucleotide ribosomal RNA is filed under the name uncultured bacterium. RNAcentral describes it as "partial 16S ribosomal RNA". It matches the Rfam family "Bacterial small subunit ribosomal RNA", at positions 1285 to 1500 of the family's 1533-position model. The record is from RNAcentral.